Molecule: long non-coding RNA, 256 nt
Filed under: Elaeis guineensis (African oil palm)
Lineage: Eukaryota; Viridiplantae; Streptophyta; Magnoliopsida; Arecales; Arecaceae
Description: long non-coding RNA (EGUI_LNC043180)
Source: RNAcentral
CUCAAGCAUGUUGUAGCGAUUCGAUCUCUAAGUCAUAUGGGCUCACCUAACAAUUAUUAACCAUACUUCUUAAUUAAGUCAGACCCACCAUUCACAUGCAGGUAUGAAGCCGUCAUUGGGACUCUCACAUGAUAGUUGUUGGAUCUAACCCCAUCCUCACCUUGGAGUAAUUUUUUGUUAAUAAAGUGGUUAAGUAUUUUCAGUGCAAUUGAACCACUAUGAUCAACUGAGAACAAUCAACACCAGUAAGACCCCC